RNAcentral lists this RNase P RNA (584 nucleotides) under Acidobacteriota bacterium. RNAcentral describes it as "Acidobacteria bacterium RNase P RNA component class A". It matches the Rfam family "Bacterial RNase P class A". Rfam says of the family: Ribonuclease P (RNase P) is a ubiquitous endoribonuclease, found in archaea, bacteria and eukarya as well as chloroplasts and mitochondria. Its best characterised activity is the generation of mature 5'-ends of tRNAs by cleaving the 5'-leader elements of precursor-tRNAs. Cellular RNase Ps are ribonucleoproteins. Lineage: Bacteria; Pseudomonadati; Acidobacteriota. The record is from RNAcentral.
CGGGCGGGCCGGGUGAUCGCUGGCUUGGUCAUCGCAAGAUGGCUAGGCGGGAGGAAAGUCCGGACACCGUCCUGAGGCACGCUCUCUACUUUUUGGGGAGCGGAACUCUUGACAGGGCAACGCGCCUGGUAACGCCAGGGGGCGCAACGGGGAGCACAGGCUAAAGCCUGUGCCACUUACGGCGCUACGGAAAGUGCCACAGAGAAUAGACCGCCGGCGGAGUGGAGCGCGGUGGCAUCGCGCAGGGAAACCUGUGAGACGUCUUCGAACUGCUCGCGCCGUUUGGCAAGGGUGAAAAGGUGGGGUAAGAGCCCACCGCUCCGGUGGCGACACCGGGGGCACGGAAAACCCCGCGUGGUGCAAGGCCAAAUAGGAGGGGAGAGCCGGCCCGGCUCGAUGAGUCAGCGUUCAUGAAAGUGAACGCGCUCCUUCGGCGGUGGCGCAAGCCAUCGUAGAUGAGAACCCUCGGGUAGGCUGCUGGAGUCGCGGUGCGAACCGUGACCUAGAGGAAUGAUCGCCGCGUACGCAGGCCGUUUACAGUUUGCGUGCGGCACAGAAUCCGGCUUACAGGCCCGUCCCGCCAU